Molecule: ribosomal RNA, 491 nt
Filed under: uncultured bacterium
Lineage: Bacteria
Description: partial 16S ribosomal RNA
Rfam family: Bacterial small subunit ribosomal RNA
Source: RNAcentral
GAUGAACGCUGGCUACAGGCUUAACACAUGCAAGUCGAGGGGAAACGACGGGGAAGCUUGCUUCCCCGGGCGUCGACCGGCGCACGGGUGAGUAACGCGUAUCCAACCUGCCUCUGACUGAGGGAUGACCCGUCGAAAGUCGGCCUAAUACCUCAUGGCAUCGUCUGCGGGCAUCCAACGACGAUUAAAGAUUUCAUCGGUCAGGGAUGGGGAUGCGUCUGAUUAGCUUGUUGGCGGGGUAACGGCCCACCAAGGCUACGAUCAGUAGGGGUUCUGAGAGGAAGGUCCCCCACAUUGGAACUGAGACACGGUCCAAACUCCUACGGGAGGCAGCAGUGAGGAAUAUUGGUCAAUGGGCGGGAGCCUGAACCAGCCAAGUAGCGUGCAGGAUGACGGCCCUAUGGGUUGUAAACUGCUUUUAUGCGGGGAUAAAGUGAGGGACGUGUCCUUCAUUGCAGGUACCGCAUGAAUAAGGACCGGCUAAUUCCGUG